This 723-nucleotide long non-coding RNA is filed under the name Populus trichocarpa (black cottonwood). RNAcentral's name for it is "long non-coding RNA (PTRI_LNC003369)". The record is from RNAcentral. Lineage: Eukaryota; Viridiplantae; Streptophyta; Magnoliopsida; Malpighiales; Salicaceae.
UUUCAAAGAGAACCCAUCAUCUUCUUCCGUUCACCAAACCAGAAAAACGGAUGUCCAACGAUGCAUCGCCAUUACUCCUGCAAUAACAGUCACUUUAUUAUCUGUUUAACGGCAUGGCUUUCUCUGGCUAUAAGAAGCCAGAGAAAGAAAGCAGAAAGGGAGAAAAAAAAAGGAGCCACGGGAAGGAGUCACAGAACCGGGGGGGAAGACGAAUAACGCAGGGGACUGGAAACAGAGAGGAAGAAAAACAGGGGGAGAGGCAGGUAACCAGAAACCGAAGAAAAGCAGGGAAAACAGGGGAGAAAACAGAGGAAAUUCCAAGAAACAGAGAGGCUAGCAGGAGGGGAGACUGGAGGAGCACGAACCGAAAACCAUAGCUAAAAAAACUCAGCCUAAGGCCAUUGCCUUCAUCUCUGCAGACAUCCCUGCAGAAAACGAAAGACCCGAAAACCAGAGCAAAAGAGACACAGAGAACAAAAAAAACCCAGAAGCAGAAUGAACAAAAGGAAGUAAACAGAGAGCUAAACCCAUCUUUGGUUUAGUCCCAGAAUUCAAUCACAACAUCCGAACAGAAGAGGAAAGCAGAGGAGAGCAGAGAGUAAGUAAAAAACCCAACAAACAGAAACACAAGAACAGAGGAGAAGAGACUGAGAGGAGGAGGAAGGGAGAAUUCUCCGGGAGUGCCCGAACUGUUGCUGUCGCCUGCGCCUUCGAAUCGCCAGG